CCUACGGGUGGCAGCAGUGAGGAAUAUUGGUCAAUGGACGAGAGUCUGAACCAGCCAAGUAGCGUGAAGGAUGACUGCCCUAUGGGUUGUAAACUUCUUUUAUAUGGGAAUAAAAUGUUCCACGUGUGGGAUUUUGUAUGUACCAUAUGAAUAAGGAUCGGCUAACUCCGUGCCAGCAGCCGCGGUAAUACGGAGGAUCCGAGCGUUAUCCGGAUUUAUUGGGUUUAACGGGAGCGUAGGUGGAUUGUUAAGUCAGUUGUGAAAGUUUGCGGCUCAACCGGAAAAUGGCAGUUGAAACUGGCAGUCUUGAGUACAGUAGAGGUGGGCGGAAUUCGUGGUGUAGCGGUGAAAUGCUUAGAUAUAACGAAGAACUCCGAUUGCGAAGGCAGCUCACUGGACUGCAACUGACACUGAGGCUCGAAAGUGUGGGUAGCAAACAGGAUUAGAUACCCUUGUAGUC
RNAcentral lists this ribosomal RNA (460 nucleotides) under uncultured bacterium. Its description in RNAcentral is "partial 16S ribosomal RNA". It matches the Rfam family "Bacterial small subunit ribosomal RNA", at positions 338 to 795 of the family's 1533-position model. The record is from RNAcentral.